RNAcentral lists this ribosomal RNA (407 nucleotides) under uncultured bacterium. RNAcentral's name for it is "partial 16S ribosomal RNA". It matches the Rfam family "Bacterial small subunit ribosomal RNA", at positions 28 to 526 of the family's 1533-position model. The record is from RNAcentral.
GACGAACGCUGGCGGCGUGCUUAACACAUGCAAGUCGAACGCAGUGGCGAACGGGUGAGUAACGCGUGGGUAACUACCUAUUAGAGGGGGAUAACUAUGGGAAACGAUAGCUAAUACCGCAUAAUUGUCGAUGUACCUGCGGUGUAGUGGCUAGUAGGUAGGAUAAUGGCCUACCUAGGCAAAGAUACAUAGACGAUCUGAGAGGGUGAUCGGCCACACUGGUAUGUGCAAACGGCCCCGACUCCGACGGGAGGCAGCAGUAGGGAAUCUUCGGCAAGGGGGGGAACCCUGACCGAGCACCGCCGCGUGAGUGAAUAAGGUUCUCGGAUCGUAAAGGUCUGUUGUGAAGGAAGCGGUACUUAACCAGAAAGGGACGGCUAACUACGUGCCAGCAGCCGCGGUAAUUC